This 5956-nucleotide long non-coding RNA is filed under the name Nicotiana benthamiana. RNAcentral describes it as "long non-coding RNA (NBEN_LNC030058)". Lineage: Eukaryota; Viridiplantae; Streptophyta; Magnoliopsida; Solanales; Solanaceae. The record is from RNAcentral.
CAAAGCUAGAAAACUAUGAAAGCUAUCCAGUUUGCUCAUCGAUAAACAUACAAAAUCCGCCGCUCCAGACUAAACAAAGAUAAUAUAUGAAGUCGCAAACAAAAUUGGACAAACUGCAAAGGAAUGUCAUAUGAGAAACUUGCAAUUUAUUCAUUACUUCUGUUACCACAAUUUUCAGUCUUCACGUCGACUACUCGUAACUCUUCACUCCUCAAAUUUGUAGUUAAUCCAUUUUUUUUUCUCAAGCUCUUAUGAUGCCAAAGGCAAUAGAACAGUAGCAAAAUAUUGAAAGAACUGAAGAAAAAUGCUAAGCUAAAGCUAUCUAGGGUUAACUAAUAUAAUUUCAAUUGAUAAAUCUGCCACAAUGCAGAGAAUUCCUAUGGAGCACUAUUAAGAGUUAAGGUUGUACCCUUCUCUACUGACAGUACUAUAAAGAACCAAAAGUGCGAUGAGUAAAGAAAUUACAGACUCCAUUUCUAUUACUGUAAACAUAAACUUAAAACCUAAGAGGGUUACAGUGUAACAACCGAAACUUCUUUUCUAAUAGACUUUAACUAACUUUAACGGUCGAGCACACCUCUGCAAGCAGCAUCUACUACUCCCCCAGCCCAGCAUAAUCCAUUCUUGCAUCAUUGCCCUUCCCUUAAAAACCUUCCUUGUCCUCAAGGAACGAAUGAAGGAAACUUCAUCUUCAUCACUGCAUAGUCUUCCCAGGUAGCUUGUUCCUUCGUCAUUUGGGACCACUGAACCAAAAUUUGAGGAAUUGCCUUGUUUCCCCGUUUGAUCAUCCUUUUGUCUAGGAUCUCUUGAGGCUCCACACAAUAGGGACUAGCAACAUCAAUCACUGGAGGAUGAUUGACUUUAUCUGGUAUGGCAUAACAGGGCUUGAGUUGUGAAACAUGAAAAGUGGGAUGGAUAACAACAUGAGAAGGGAGUGACAGUUUGUAGGCAACUGGACCAACUUUCUGUAGGAUCUGGUAUGGACCAUAAUACUUGGCAGAAAGCUUAGAAAAUAAGUGGUUUGAAAGUGUGAUCUGUCGAUAAGGUUGGAGCUUGAGAUAAGCCCAAUCUCCUUCCUUGAAGUUUCUGUCAGCCCUAUGCUUGUUGGCCAGGCUUGACAUCCUUUGUUGUGCUCUGUGAAUGUGGAACUUCAGCAACUGAACCUUCAACUCCCUAGUAGUGAGGCUUCGAUCCACUUCUUCAUCAGCAGCAUCACCAGGUAGAUAGGGUAGAUGGGUAGGAGGAGGUUGACCAUAGAGGGCUUCAUAAGGUGUGGUCUGAAUGGCUGGAUGGCUGAAUGGAAGGUGGUAUUGUACCACCAUUAUGCUAGUGACAAAUAAGAAGCCCAUUCUGCUAGUGACAAAUGAGAAGCCCAAUCGUGUUGGCUAUAAGCACAGAAACAUCUUAAAUAAGUCUCCACAGUCCUAUUGAGCACCUCUGUUUGACCAUCGGUUUGAGGAUGAUAUGCUAUGGAUGUGCUGAGAGUUACUCCUUACAUGGAAAAAAGAUCCUGCCAAAUUUUGCUAACAAAUAUUGGGUCCCUGUCACUGAUUAUAUUUCCUGGCAUACCAUGUAACUUGUAAACAUGGUCCAAGAACAUCUGAGCCACAGAAGUGGCAGUGUAAGGAUGGCUGAUAGCAAAGAAAUGAGCAUACUUGGUGAGUCUGUCCACCACUACUAAUAUAGUUGUUUUUCCCUUGGGCUUAGGGAGUCCAUCAAUAAAAUCCAUGCUAAUGCUGGACCAAGCAGUGUUAGGAAUCUGCAAUGGCUGUAGCAAUCCCGGAUAGGCACUAUUAUCAUACUUGCUCCUUUGACAUGUUGCACAUUGUCUCACAUAGGUUGCCACAUCUUCCUUGAGCCCCUUCCAAUAGAAAAGAUUAGAUAACCUUUUGUAGGUGUUUUCUACUCCAGAAUGACCACCUAUAUGUUUAUCAUGCCAUAUCUGAAAGAUUUCUUGCUUCAAAGAGCUAUCAUUUCCCACCACUAGCUUGCCCUUCCUUCUCAGUUGUUGGUUCACAAGAUUUAUCAUGCCAUAUCUGAAGGAUAUCUUGCUUCAAAGAACUAUCAUUUCUCACCACUAGCUUGCCCUUCCUUCUUAGUUGUUGGUUCACAAAGGUGUACCCCUUCUGUUCCUCCCCUUGCUCUCGAAUAUGAGCUAUAACAUCUGCAGCUUCCUUGUCCUUCACCCAACUGUCCUUGAUCCUUUGAAAGAGCUCAUGGUUAGUUGGGGUGAGCAGAUUCAUUGCCAAUUCCCUUGAUGGAACUCUGGAUAGGGAAUCAGCUACCUUGUUUUCUCUCCCUUUCUUGUAUUCUAUCACAAAAUCAAAUUGCAUGAGUUUAACUAUCCAUUUCAUUUGUGACCCAGUGUGAAAGCUUCUGGUCUAGCAAGAAUUCAAUGCCUUCUGAUCAGUUCUUACCACAAAAUGUCUUUCCAUUAUAUAUUGUGCCCAUUUGGUAACAACCAUGACAAGGGCUAACAGUUCCUUGUCAUAAACUGACAAAGCCUGGUGCCUCCAUGAGAGACCCUUGCUGAGAUAGGCUAUAGGAUGGCCUUCUUGCAUCAAUACAGCCCCAACACCAUAGUCACAUGCAUCAGUUUCCACUACAAACAUAAGCUGACUAUUUGGAAGUGCCAGCACAAGUGCUGGUGUGAGGGCUGCCUUCAACUGGUUGAAUGCUUCUUCUGCCCUGUUAGACCAUAGGAACCCAUCUUUUUUGAGCAACUCUGUCAAAGGCCUACUGAUCACUCCAUAAUGCUUAAUGAACCUCCUAUAGCAUCCUGCCAGCCCCAAGAAGCCCCUUAGCUCCCUGACAUUCUUUGGUGAAGGACAUAACUGCACUGCUGCAAUUUUGUUAGGGUUGGUAGCUACCCCUUCAGCACAUAUGAUGUGCCCGAAAUAUUCAAUCCGACUAGCCCCAAAAGAACAUUUUGAUUUUCUUGCAAACAGCUUGUGUUUCACCAACAGCUCAAAAAUCAUCCUAAGAUGUAUCAAGUGUUCAGACAUGUUCUUGCUGAAUACUAGGAAUCAAAGAAUACCAAGAUGAAUUUCCUGAGAUGUUCCUUGAACACAUUAUUCAUCAAACUCUGAAAGCAAGAAGGAGAAUUGGUAAGUCCAAAAGGCAUUACCAAAUACUCAUAGUGUCCUGAAUGGGUUCUGAAUGCUGUUUUGGCUAUAUCUUCUGUCGUCAUCCUGAUCUGGUGAUAACCAGACCUAAGGUCUAUCUUGGAGUAGAUCUGUGAACCACCCAAUUCAUCCAGAAGCUCUUCUAUGAUUGGAAUAGGGAAUUUAUCUUUGAUGGUAGCCUUGUUUAAGACCCCGUAAUCAACACAUAGCCUCCAACUUCCAUCUUUCUUUCCCACUAAGACUACUAGGGAAGCAUAAGGGCUGGAACUUGGCUGCACAAUUCCCUGAUCAAGCAUAUCCUGCACCAACCUCUCAAUGAUAUCCUUCUGGGAUGAAGAAUACCUGUAGGUUCUGAGGUUUAUAGGAUUACAUCCUGCCUGCAAUGGUAUCUUGUGAUCAAAGGGUCCUCUAGAAGGAGGUAACCCUUUUGGAUCAGUGAACAGCUGAUGGUACUAUUCAAGUAAUGACUGCAUAUGUGAAGGUAUGUUGCUGCUAGUAUAUGUCUUCUCCUCCUCCCUGGGCAGCACUCUCAGCAUAAAUAGUUGUGCCCCAUUGUUUGCUAGUUUAUCCAACUUCUUAGCCUCCACAGUCUUUAUCUUAUCCACUUCCCCCUUCAAUACACAAUCCUUCCCUUGAUAGUUGUACCCCAAGGUAAGCUCCUUAAAGUUCAGCUUAAGAUCCCCAAAUGGAAGCAACCAUUGCACUCCCAAUAUCAGUUCACAAGAACCUAAUGGAAGCAAUAGAAAAUCUGCUGUGUAAGUGACCCCUUGCAGCAGCCAUGUCAAAUUUUUACAAAGCUCAUGUGACUGCCUAUUGUUCCCAUCUGCCACAUUGAUAGUUUGAGGAUUGAUCUUCAAGGUAGCAAUUCCCAGGCUUCUUGCCACCUCAUCAUCAAUGAAAUUGUGUGUACUACCAUGGUAGACCAAUAUACUUAGUGCUAUUUUCUGGCAAUAACCAGUUUUUCUCAAAUUAUGGAAUUUUGGUACUCCAUGUAGAGCAUUGACUGAUAUUUCACACACUUCUCCCUUCACCUCUUCUCCUGCUUCUUCAGCUACCUCUACAUGCUCCUCUACCAAUACUAAGUCUCAUGUUUCUUCUUCUUCUUGCCUUUCUUAUUCCACCUCCAACAAGUACAAUUGUUUGGAGGCACUGCACUUGUGACUAGGGAAGAAUCUCUCAUCACAGAAAAAACAUAGUCCCUUCUGCCUCUUCUCAUUCAUUUCAGUUGUAGUCAAUUUCCUAGUAUUUCCCUCGUUCCAGUUAGCAUCAGCCUCCCUUUUAAGCAAAUUUCCUUCCUUCUUAAGGAACCCUCAUGUUUUAGUAGAUCCAUAAGUGUUGCCCCUAGUAUGGGAUGACCCUCCUCUAUACAUUGUGGACUUAGUCAUCUUCAGCUGAGCAUUCACUUAAGCUUCAGUGUUCCUAGCCAACUGGUAAGCUUGUGGCAAAGAAAAGGGCCGAUGGUUCUUCACUGUAAACCCAAUUUCUGGUUUGAGACCAGUGAUGAAAGCACUAAUAGCAUAUUCUGGAAGGAUGUGCAGCCUAGUCAUGAUCCUGUCAAACUCCUUCUGGUAGUCUUCCACCAUUCCCACUUGUCUUACUAGCUUAAGCUCAGACAUAGGGUCAGCAUAUUCCGCCCCAAAUCUCUCUAUUAGAGCAUACACAUACUCUUCCCAGCUAGGAUAAGGUAAAUGAGAUCUACUUCUUAAAUAAGCAAGAUGCCAUUCAAUAGCUAUGUCAUCAAAAUGUAUGGAAGCCACCUUAACCCUUUGGUUAUAUUCUACUUCAUCUAGUGAGAAAAAUUGUUCUACCUUACAAAGCCAAGCCCUAAGGUUGAGGCCAUUGAAGCGAGGGAACUCCAGCUUGGUCAUCCUGGUUAGAUUUGUUCCUCUUGGUGAUGUAGCUGUUGAGUUCUGAGCGGCAGGUGCAGGUUCACUCCCAUUCUGUCCAGCUGAGGGUUGUCCUUGAGCAAAGCCACCUCCAAUGUUACCAGCAGCAGCAGAAUGCUGUAAGAGUUGGUAUGUGAGGGGAAGCAGCUCCCCUUGGCCCUUGAAACUGAGGCAUGGGCCCCACCCCAAAUGGUAUGCAGGUGCAGGUUCACCCCCAUUCUGUCCAGCUGAGGGUUGUCCUUGAGCAAAGCCACCUCCAAUGUUACCAGCAGCAGAAUGCCCUUGAGUAGGAGUUGUAAAAGUUGGUCUGUGAGGAGAAGCACCCCCCUUGGCCCUUGAAACUGAGGCAUGGGCCCAAACCCCAAAUGGUAGGCAGCUGGAGAAAACUGAGAGGUAGUAAUACCACCAUGUACCCACGCAGUAGGGUUGCUUGUGGGAGUGUAUAUCUCGCCUCCUCCAUCCAUGUCUUCUAUGCCUUUGCCUCGGUCAUACCUCUUCACAUCAUCAAUAGACUCUUUGAGUUCAGCAAAAGCCCUUUCAUGUUGAUUCUCGAGCUGGGUUUGCCUGACUGAGAAAUUAGCUAUCUCGAUUGUCAUCCUCUCAAACAUAGACUUAAUCUCAUCCAUAUUUGCCAUUGUUAUCACCCACAAAGCUCAAGAAAGUGCUCGUGAUACCAAAUGAUGCCAAAGGCAAUAGAACAGUAGCAAAAUAUUGAAAGAACUGAAGAAAAAUGCUAAGCUAAAGCUAUUCUAGGGUUAACUAAUAUAAUUUCAAUUGAUAAAUCUGCCAAAAUGCAGAAAAUUACAACUAUAUAGAGGACUAUGGACCGCUAUUAAGAGAUAAGAUUGUACCCUUUUCUACUGACAGUACUAUAAAGGACCAAAAGUGCCCUGAGUAAAGAAAUUACAGACUCCAUUGCUAUUACUAUAAACAUAAACUUAAAAC